UUCCGGUUGAUCCUGCCGGACCCCACUGCUAUCGGGAUGGGACUAAGACAUGCUAGUCGAGCGUCUCCAAGCUAUGGAAGAGACGCGGCACACAGCUCAGUAACACGUGGCUAACCUGCCCUUGGGACAAGGACAACUCCGGGAAACUGGGGCUAAUCCCUGAUAGGUGAGAACUCCUAGAAUGGAUUCUCGCUGAAAGGACGUUUAGACGAUGCUUCUAGGCGUCGCCCAAGGAGGGGGCCGCGACCGAUCAGGUUGUUGGUGAGGUAACGGCUCACCAAGCCUUUAACCGGUACGGGCCGUGAGAGCGGAAGCCCGGAGAUGGGCACUGAGACAAGGGCCCAGGCCCUACGGGGCGCAGCAGUCGCGAAAACUCCGCAAUACACGAAAGUGUGACGGGGCUAUCCCGAGUGCCAUCCGCUGAGGAUGGCUUUUCCCCAGUGUAUAAAGCUGGGGGAAUAAGGAGAGGGCAAGCCUGGUGUCAGCCGCCGCGGUAAUACCAGCUCUCCGAGUGGUGGGGAUGUUUAUUGGGCCUAAAGCAUUCGUAGCCUGCUUGGCAAGUCCUCCGUUAAAUCCAACGAUUCAAUCGUUGGGCUGCGGGGGAUACUGUCCGGCUAGGGGGCGGGAGAGGCCGACGGUAUCCCCGGGGUAGGGGUGAAAUCCUAUAAUCCCGGGAGGACCACCAGUGGCGAAGGCUGUCGGCUAGAACGUGCUCGACGGUGAGGGAUGAAAGCUGGGGGAGCGAACCGGAUUAGAUACCCGGGUAGUCCCAGCUGUAAACGAUGCAGGCUAGGUGUUGGCGCGGCUACGUGCCGCUCCAGUGCCGCGGGGAAGCCGUUAAGCCUGCCGCCUGGGAAGUACGGCCGCAAGGCUGAAACUUAAAGGAAUUGG
Molecule: ribosomal RNA, 891 nt
Filed under: uncultured archaeon
Lineage: Archaea
Description: bacterial SSU rRNA
Rfam family: Archaeal small subunit ribosomal RNA
Source: RNAcentral